This 911-nucleotide long non-coding RNA is filed under the name Rattus norvegicus (Norway rat). RNAcentral describes it as "long non-coding RNA NONRATT027981". Lineage: Eukaryota; Metazoa; Chordata; Mammalia; Rodentia; Muridae. The record is from RNAcentral.
CGCUGAGCGGGCUUGGCUGGCCACCAGCGGGAGGCACAGCCACGCUGAACCAGCAGGGAUGGUGUCUUGGCUUGUGGGCUCGCAGCCACGCAGCCUCUACUAACCGCCGGCCGAGUUUAAGCACCGCCAGCACUCACCCAAGCCCACCCCUGCUCCAAAGCUAAGAAGGCGAGAAAGACAUCCACCUCGCUCUUGCUGUCCCUGGAAGAUUGCAACCGGGCAGCUUCUAGGACUGAUCCCCCCCAGGGUGCGGCCAAUGGAUUUGGCCCCUCUCGCUAGGCAGCCACUUGCUGGGGUACCAGUAGAAGCUUCUGUGAUUUCCCCCAGGCAGCUUUUGCCUGCCGAGCCCAGAGUCCGGAAACCUCAGACUGGAAAAGAGAGACAGCAAGCUACCGCUCGCCAGCCAACGCAUCCAGGCCCGGGAUAGAAAGAGCCGAAGGUACCGACUCUAGGAGCCCAAGGGCCCGAGGUGUCGCUUCCCAGACCAGCUUCGCCCAGAGCUAAGAAGCUUGCACUGCAAUGCAGCGGGAUCCAGGCUCUCUAAGCCGGAGAUGUCCGGGGAUCGGGCUGUCUGAGAGCACCGGAGCGCAGGAGCCUGGAGAGUCUGCGUGCGAACCUGCUGUGGGAGCCCAGGGUCGGCACCGGGCAUGCCUGUGGGUUCCGCCCCAGCCCAAUGCCCCAUCUGUGCCCAGACUCGGGGAUAUCCUCGCCCUUCGGCACCAGGAUGCCCGGCUACGCCGAACAGCCAAAGGAGCCCCGCGAAGCGCGCGGCACCCAGGAACUGGCAGCCGGCAGCCACCAAGUUGCUCCGCGAAGGGUUGGUUGCUAUUGGUAUGAAGAAAAGCCAGUUGAUUGUUUUGUUGAUUCCGUGUCCUCUUAAACUGAAAUAAAAUGUCUCAAAGAAAAAAAUA